GAUGAACGCUGGCGGCGUGCCUAAUACAUGCAAGUCGAGCGAACAGAUGAGGAGCUUGCUCCUCUGACGUUAGCGGCGGACGGGUGAGUAACACGUGGAUAACCUACCUAUAAGACUGGGAUAACUUCGGGAAACCGGAGCUAAUACCGGAUAAUAUAUUGAACCGCAUGGUUCAAUAGUGAAAGACGGUUUUGCUGUCACUUAUAGAUGGAUCCGCGCCGCAUUAGCUAGUUGGUAAGGUAACGGCUUACCAAGGCAACGAUGGGUAGCCGACCUGAGAGGGUGAACGGCCACACGGGAACUGAGACACGGCCCAGACUCCUACGGGAGGAAGCAGUAGGGAAUCUUCCGCAAUGGGGGAAAGCCGGAUGGAGCAACGCCGCGUGAGUGAUGAAGGUCUUCGGAUCGUAAAACUCUGUUAUUAGGGAAGAACAAAUGUGUAAGUAACUAUGCACGUCUUGACGGUACCUAGACAGAAAGCCACGGCUAACUACAUG
Molecule: ribosomal RNA, 497 nt
Filed under: uncultured bacterium
Lineage: Bacteria
Description: partial 16S ribosomal RNA
Rfam family: Bacterial small subunit ribosomal RNA
Source: RNAcentral